UUGGGGAUGAAAUUCAGUUGGUAUAAUAUUUGCCUAACAUGUAGAAAACCUUGGGUUCAACCCCCAGUACCAAAA
Molecule: transfer RNA, 75 nt
Filed under: Marmota monax (woodchuck)
Lineage: Eukaryota; Metazoa; Chordata; Mammalia; Rodentia; Sciuridae
Description: tRNA.Val
Source: RNAcentral